This 298-nucleotide signal recognition particle RNA is filed under the name Aotus nancymaae (Ma's night monkey). RNAcentral describes it as "Metazoan signal recognition particle RNA (ENSANAG00000008670.1)". It matches the Rfam family "Metazoan signal recognition particle RNA". From Rfam's summary of the family: The signal recognition particle (SRP) is a universally conserved ribonucleoprotein. It is involved in the co-translational targeting of proteins to membranes. The eukaryotic SRP consists of a 300-nucleotide 7S RNA and six proteins: SRPs 72, 68, 54, 19, 14, and 9. The record is from RNAcentral. Lineage: Eukaryota; Metazoa; Chordata; Mammalia; Primates; Aotidae.
GCCGGGUGCAGUGGUGUGUGCCUGUAGUCCCCGCUACUUGGGAGGCUGAGGCUGGAGGAUUGCUGGAGUCCAGGAGUUCUGGGCUGUAGUGCACUAUGCUGAUUGGGCGUCUGCACUAAGUUCGGCAUCAAUAUGGUGACCUCCUGGGAGCGGGGGACCACCAGGUUGCCUAAGGAGGGGUGAACCGGCCCAGGUCGGAAACAGAGCAGGUCAAAACUCCCAUGCUGAUCAGUAGUGGGAUCACGCCUAUGAAGAGCCACUGCACUCCAGCCUGGGCAACAUAGCAAGACCCCUCUUU